UACGUAGGGUGCAAGCGUUAAUCGGAAUUACUGGGCGUAAAGCGUGCGCAGGCGGUUGUGUAAGACAGAUGUGAAAUCCCCGGGCUCAACCUGGGAACUGCAUUUGUGACUGCACGGCUGGAGUGCGGCAGAGGGGGAUGGAAUUCCGCGUGUAGCAGUGAAAUGCGAAGAUAUGCGGAGGAACACCGAUGGCGAAGGCAAUCCCCUGGACCUGUACUGACGCUCAUGCACGAAAGCGUGGGGAGCAAACAGG
RNAcentral lists this ribosomal RNA (253 nucleotides) under uncultured bacterium. Its description in RNAcentral is "partial 16S ribosomal RNA". It matches the Rfam family "Bacterial small subunit ribosomal RNA", at positions 524 to 776 of the family's 1533-position model. The record is from RNAcentral.